Macadamia integrifolia is the source of this 1472-nucleotide RNA transcript. It is a transcript of the gene named 50S ribosomal protein L7/L12-like, with no coding region annotated. The transcript is spliced from 3 exons. The record is from RefSeq and is a predicted model, not a curated record. Lineage: Eukaryota; Viridiplantae; Streptophyta; Magnoliopsida; Proteales; Proteaceae.
CCAUUUUCAUUCUAAUGGUUUUUCGUUUCAUCUUCUUCUUCUUCUUCUUCCUCUAUUUUUCUCAUGGGUUUCUUUGUUCUACGAAGGUAGACUGAACCAAAAAUCUCUUCUUCUCAUGGGUUUUUUUUUAGUUCUACGAAGAAAUCCUAAUAUAUCCUUCUCCUGGUCUAUGUCAAGCCCCGAAACUCGCAUUUGUAAUAUUUCAAUAAUGGAUUCUUCCAGUUGAGGUCAAAUAGAAAGAAAGAAAUCUCACAAUCACAGGAACCCGAAAAUGAGCUUGAUUUCAAGAUUUGGGUACCGUUUUUCGAAUGGGUUCUGCAGAAACCCAACUUUUCUUUUACCAUUAUCAUCGAAAUCGAUCGACUCGGACUGGGUUACCCGGAAAUUCAAUCUUAAUGGAAAGAAAGAGGAGGAGGAAGAAGAACUCGAGAUGAUUGAUCAAAGAAGGCUCCCGGCAGAUUACGACCCAGAGAAUUUCGAUCCCACAGAGCACCGGAGCCCUCCAACCGAUCGGGCUUACAGGCUGGUAGAUGAAGUUUCAGGGCUCACACUAGUUGAAGUGGCGGAGCUGUCAUCGAUUCUGAUGACUAAAUUGGGUAUGAAGGAGGCUCCAGUUGUUGGGGUUAUGAAGCCUGGAGCUGCUGGGUUGGCCGGAAUGGCGGGGAUGAAGGCAACGACGGCGGCAGCGAAGGAGGAGAAGAAGCCAGAGAAGACUGUGUUUGAAUUGAAGUUGGAGUCUUAUGAGGCUGCAGCGAAGAUAAAGAUCAUCAAAGAGGUUAGGAGUUAUACUGAAUUGGGUCUCAAGGAAGCAAAGGAUCUGGUGGAGAAGGCGCCAACGGUGUUCAAAAGAGGAGUGUCGAAGGAGGAAGGCGAGCAGAUAAUUGAGAAGAUGAAGGCUUUGGGGGCGAAAGUAGUAAUGGAGUGAAUCAGAAUGUUCUUACAAGAAGCAAUAGCAACCUUGUUGGGAUGCUAAGAGGACUGGUGAGAUGCUGGUCAAAUUUUAGGUGGGAGGUCCAGUCCAUAUCAAUCUUUAUCAUCUUCUUCUUAUAUCUCCUAAGGUUCUGAACUGGGAUUUUGGACAUAGGUUAGUGGUGUGAGAUGUGGAAGUAAAGGAGAUCUAGCACUAAAUGAAUUCCUUGGAGAAGUAUUCAUCUCUUUAAGUUUUUGAUAAUCGUAUCAAGUCCCUGUCUCCUUACAUUGCAGUCUCGAAAAAAAGUAUAAGGUCCUAGUGAGGUCUGUCUGAAUUUGGAAAGGAGCACUCGUGAUAUGAUUCAGCAAGGCUGGAAAGGUUGGAACCGUCUUACUUGGAAUUGUCAUAAACUGCUUGAUGAAUGGUGAUCAUGAUCAGUGCUUUCUUUGGCCCAAACUGCUUUCUUUGGAGCUCCUCUUGUCAUGAUUUGUUCUCCUGGAAACCUUGGUUCUGCAAUUUUCUCGCAAAUGAAUAACGUAAAACACUUGGCCAGAUGUGUGUG